Molecule: RNA transcript, 4249 nt
Organism: Triticum aestivum (bread wheat)
Lineage: Eukaryota; Viridiplantae; Streptophyta; Magnoliopsida; Poales; Poaceae
Exons: 13
Source: RefSeq, a predicted model, not a curated record
CGAACCCAAUCCAAACUCCACUCCACUCUUUCUCUUCUAUCCGUCCGCCUCCGCGAUGGCCACCGCCGCCUCCGCCUCCGCCUUCCUCUUCCACGCCCCGCCGCGCGGCCACCACCACCACCACAAGCCCAAGCCCGCCUCCAGGCCCACCACCACCCUCUGCUCCGCCGCGCCCUCCUCCACGCCGUCCCUCGCCGACCAGCUGGAGCCGCUCUCGCGCACGCUGCUCACGGACAAGCCCACCCCCGCCGCCGACCGCGCGCAGCGCCCCACCCCGGAGCCCACCUGGGUCAACCCCUCCAGGCCGCGCCCCACCGUGCUGUCCCUCCGCCGCCAGCGCCGCCGCCCGGCCGCCUCCCACCCCUCCUCGGCGCCGCUCCAGCCGCUGCUCCGCGACCUGCGCGCGCUCCCGGAGGACGCCGACCUGGCGCCCACCCUCAGCGCCUUCUUCCCGCUCCCGGGCUCCCCGCCCACCUCCUCCGACGCGCUGCUCCUCCUCAACUACCUCCACCCGUCCUGGCGCAAGACGCUCUCCCUCCUCGCCUACCUCCGCGCGCUCCCCGCCGACGCCGGCUUCGCCGUCGACACCAUCCUCUUCAACGUCGCCCUCAAGUCGCUCCGCGCCGCGCGCCGCUGGGACGAGGCGGAGCGGCUGGCGCUCGACAUGCUCGACUCCGGCGUCCCGCUCGACAACAUCACCUACUCCACCCUCAUCACCGCCGCCCGCCGCUGCCGCCAGUUCGCCAAGGCCGUCGAGUGGUUCGAGCGCAUGUACUCGCCCGGCAGCGCCGUGCUCCCCGACGAGGUCACCUACUCCGCCGUCCUCGACGUCUACGCGCAGCUCCGCAUGAAGGAGGAGGUGCUGGCGCUCUUCGACCGCGCCCGCGGCAGCGGCUGGAAGCCCGACCACGUCGCCUUCGCCGUGCUCGCCAAGAUGUUCGGCGAGGCCGGCGACUACGACGGCAUCCAGUUCGUCUUCAAGGAGAUGCGGGAGGUCGGCAUCAAGCCCAACAUCUUCGUCUACAACGCGCUGCUCGAGGCGCUCGGCAAGACCGGCAAGCCCGGGCUCGCCCGCAACCUGUUCGAGGAAAUGACCGCCGAGGGCGUCGAGCCCAACGCGCGCACGCUCACCGCCGUGGCCAAGAUCUACGGCCGGGCGCGCUGGGGACGCGACGCGCUCCAGCUCUGGGACCAGAUGCGCGAGAGGAAGAUCCCCGCCGACAGCAUCCUCUGCAACACGCUGCUCAGCAUGUGCGCCGACGUGGGGCUCGUGGCCGAGGCCGAGCAGCUCUUCGAGGAGAUGAAGGACCCGGACCUCACCGACGUCCCCCAGCCGGACAAGUGGAGCUACACGGCCAUGAUCAACAUCUACGGGAGCAUCAAGGACGCCGACCGCGCGCUCCAGCUGUUUGUGGAAAUGCUCCAGAGCGGCAUAGAGGCCAACAUCAUGAGCUACACCAUCGUGAUCCAAUGCCUCGGCAAGGCGAACAGGAUACGGGACGCCGUGGAGGUGCUCGAGGCGGGGCUGGAGAGGGGCCUCAAGCCCGACGACCGGCUAUGCGGGUGCCUGCUCUCCGUCGUCGCACUAAGCAGCGGCGAGGAGACGGAGCUGGUGCUCGGCUGCCUUGAGAAGUUCAAUGGAAACCUGGUCAAGCUGAUCAGGAUGCUCGGGGAUGACCAGGUGGGCACCGACGAGCUCAAGGAGCAGCUGAGGGCCGUGCUGAACGCCGCGGAGACCGAGGUGCGCCGGCCCUACUGCAACUGCCUUAUCGACAUAUGCCAGAACCAUGGCCUCCCCGCCCGGAGGCCGAGGGAGCUCUUCCGGCUCGCACAGUGCUACGGCCUCUACUCCAAGCUCCACAUCAGGAAAGACGACGAGUGGCUGCUAGACCUGCGGUCCCUCUCAGUCGGCGCUGCCAAGACGGCGUUCGACGACUGGAUGGCGGCCCUCUCAGAGCGCGCCGCGCAGGGCCAGACCCUACCACAGUCCUUCAACGUGUUCACCGGGUCCAGCACCCACAAGUUCGCGCAGGGGCUGGCGAGCGCCUUCGCCGCCCACCUCGAGGAGGCGGCGGCACCGUUCCGUCCCAGCGAGUCCCAGGUCGGCAGCUUCGUCAGCUCCAGGGAUGAGCUAGUGCAGUGGCUGCAGACGAGCAGUUCAUCGUCUCCGGUCGUGGGAUCACCUGGUCUGUUGGCCCUUGGAAAGAUUUAUGGUGCUGCUGCUACUGCUGCCAUGCAGGCUGAUAGAAUGGAAAUGGAAGAGGAGCACUGGUCUUCAGCCUUUGAUUCUGGGAGCACGAUCGCGGGACCAUUGCUGGCCGAACAUUUCCGUGACGGGUUUUCUGCUGGCUGUAUGGGCCUGGCCUCCGCAGCCUCGCUACUCACAAAUGGGCUGGGCCUAGCUCGGUCCGAGUCGCGCGAGUCCACCACAAGUCGCUUCUUCCUCCCACCGGCCACCACAGCCCACACAGACGCGGCAGAGAGAGAGAGAUCGGAGGGGGAUCGCCGGGCAGAGAUCGGCCGGAGAGGGAGGAGGAAGAUGAUACUCGCCGUGCUCUUCGCCAACUCCGAGGGAAACAUCCUCAUCGAGAGGUUCCAUGGCGUCCCGGCGGAGGAGCGGCUGCACUGGCGCUCCUUCCUCGUCAAGCUCGGCGCCGAGAACCUCAAGGGGGCCAAGUCCGAGGAGCUCCUCGUCGCCUCCCACAAGUCGGUCUCCAUUGUGUAUACCAUGAUCGGGGACAUCUGCCUGUACAUUGUCGGCAAGGAUGAAUAUGAUGAGCUUGCUCUGUCGGAGGUGAUCUUCGCUGUUACGUCGGCGGUGAAGGAUGUGUGUGCGAAACCACCCACCGAGCGCCUCUUCCUGGACAAGUACGGGAGGAUCUGCCUGUGCCUGGACGAGAUCGUUUGGCAGGGGUUGCUGGAGAACACGGAGAAGGACAGGGUUCGGAGGCUGAUCAGGCUCAAGCCCCCUCCGAGAGAGAGACCUGCCGGCCGGCCGGAGACGAUGGAUCUGGUGAACGGCGUGCUCAACUGGGCGGCGAUGCCCGCCAUGGUCACCACCCUCCUGCUCCUCUACCCGCCCUACUACCUCUUCAAGCUCUGCUACUCCUUCCUCUCCUACCUCUUCCCCGACGACCUCAAGCGCAAGGUCGUCCUCAUCACCGGCGCCUCCUCCGGCAUCGGCGAGCAACUGGCCUACCAGUACGCCACCAAGGGGGCAUGCCUCGCCCUGGUCGCCAGGAGGGAGUGGAGCCUCCGGCAAGUCGCCGACCGCGCCUUCGAGCUCGGCGCGCCGGAUGUCAUCAUUCUCCCCGGCGACGUCGCAGACCCCGACGACUGCAACAGAUUCGUUCAGGCCGCGGUCGACCACUUCGGCCGAUUGGACCAUCUUGUGUGCAACGCUGGCAUUGCAAGCGUAGGCGCUUUUCAGGAGAUUCCCGAUGUCACUAACUACAGCUCUCAGCUUGAUGUGAACUUCUGGGGCGCAGUUCAGUCCACUUUUGCUGCUCUACCUCAUCUUAAAAGGACCCGAGGGAGGAUCGUGGUCACCGCCUCCGCAACCGGAUGGAACCCCGUUCCGUGCAUGGUUUUCUAUAAUGCUGCCAAUGCCGCACUGAUUAACUUCUUCGAGACGCUGCGGUCGGAGCUUGGCAGUGAAGUUGGCAUCACGAUAGUGACGCCCGGGUGGAUCGAGUCCGAGAUGUCCAAAGGAAAGUUUCUGAAGGAGGACGGCGGCGUGGAGGUUGAUCAAGAAUAUCGAGAUGCUCAAAUCGGCCUCUUCCCAGUGGAGUACGCCAAGAAGUGCGCGAGGGCCAUGGUGCAGGCAGCUCGCCAAGGCGACCGCUACCUCACCGUGCCGUCCUGGUUCGGAACAAUGUACCUGUGGAGGGUGUUUGCGCCGGAGGUCGUCGAGUUCUGCUACCGCCUCCUGUACAUGCACGGCCAUGGUGGCGGCGACCAGACCGAUGCGCCGAGCAAGACGAUGGCCCAGGGUGGCACCCCUCCUCGCUGAGCUCUUCAGACGUCAAGAACGACUAGAAACUUACUAUAGUUCGCAUCCUUUGAUCGACGUGGAUCCUAGCUGUGUUGUGCAUGCAGGCUCGUUUGUUCUCUAAUAAUGGAGCUUUAGGUGUGGAUGCUACUGUUGGUUAGCUAGUUUGUAAAAAAAAACCGAAUAAUUAAGCUGUGUUCUGGGUUUGCGAUAUUAGUGCUCUGUUGUGUGCUUGUAAUAUUAGUUCUGUGUUUGAGA